GCCUGCCGGCCUCCUUCGCCCCGCCCCGUCCGCGCAGCUCGUCCGGCCCGCCCGCAGGCCAGCUUCUCUCGGGAGCCUCCACCCAGGCGCAUGGCUCCAUGAAGCAAGAGGAGGAGGCAGAGCGCGAGAGAUCCCGUCCGCCCCAGCCGCGUCUGGGCCAGGAGAAAAGCAAAACCAUAUUCCUGCUGCUGUCAGUUUUGAUGCACUGAGAAAACUUCAGAGACCUAAGCUUUUUCCAGAGAAGAGAAGCUUUACUGGUGUUCCAGCCCUAAGGCUCAUAUGACAUUAACAGACAAGACACUUUUCAGAAAGACAGGUUGUUCUUUUGGGCCACAUCUAAGAAAUCUUUGUCUAGCCAAAAGCCACAAAUAAUUUCUCAUUUUUUGGCUUCUGGAAGAUGUACAGUUAAAUGUUAUAUUUGGGACUGUUAUCUAAUUUGAUUAAAUUGCACUCUACAAUAUGAUAUUUGAAUUGAUGAAAAAUUAGUAAAUGUUAAUAUUUUUUAAAGUAGCCAAAUCUUGCAAUUUAUAUAUAAUAGAGAAGACUAGAAAAUCCCCCAUAUUUAUUUCCUCUUACUUCGUACUACUAAAAUUUGUAUUUAGGCAUUUGGUUUCUCAGAUAAACAUUACAUUCCCCAGUAUAUGGUUCUAUCUGGCUUGGUGACGACAUGUUGAACAUUAAGAUGUGAGCAGAAGUAAUACAUACACACUCUUUUUAAUGUCUUUAAUUGAAUGGGAUAUUGGCCCAUUUUUUCUUCCAGUUUAUUACACUGAAUAUUGACAUGUUAUUUUCCAAUAUUGAGACAAUCAAUGACAAGACUUUAAGAGUAACAAUGUAAAAAUUAUAGAAGUUGUCUGAGUUUAUCAACAAUCCCCUGGAUUAGAACCCCCUACCAGUUCUAGGUCAUCUAAUAUAUAGACAUUGUGUUCAGUAGAAAUAAAUAUAUAUAUUUUUUAAUAUACUUUAAGUUCUAGGAUACAUGUGCACAACAUGCAGGUUUGUUACAUUGGUAUACACAUGCCAUGUUGGUUUGCUGCACCCAUUAACUCAUCAUUUACAUUAGUUAUUUCUCCUAAUGCUAUCCCUCCCCCUGCCCCCCACCCCCCGACAGGCCCUGGGGUGUGAUGUUCCCCACCCUGUGUCCAAGUGUUCUCAUUGCUCAAUUCCCACCUAUGGGAAUACAUUUUUAAAUCAUUUUUAAAGGUGUUAUUACAUUCUGAUUGAACAUUUUCAGAAAGAAUAAAUAAUUUAAUACAAGAAGUGGGCCACUUCAUGUAACAAAACAAACCACCACUACAGCAACAACAACAAAAAACACUAAUGAAUGUGACUUUAGCUUUGCAACAUCAUGACAGACUAGCAAGUUAAUGACAUUUGUUAUGCCAUAGAAAAUAUUUGUUGAAUUGCCACUCUAAUGACUUUAUAUCAGCCAACUCAUUAUCAACACUAGAAAAGAUGAUUAAAAAAUACUUCAGUACGUUCAUGUGUUGGCUUGUUAACAUUUUUAAGAGUCUAUAAGAGAAAAAUGCAUCCAAUCUCGGCAAAAAUAUUUUUCAAGUAUCUUGUAGGUACGUACAACUAACUACCUUGUGAACAAAAGUCACUAUAUAAUUAUAUAAUUUCUGACACUUAAAAAAGUUUAUUGUGCAAAAGAAGAUAUAUGUUCUAAUACCAAAUCCACAUAUAAAAUAAUUGACUUAUUUAAAUAAUUUAAGAUGCUCUUUUAUAUAUUUAUAUUAAAAACUUUACAGAGAAUAAAAAAGGCAUUAUACAGGCUGCUUAUGGUUUUUGAUGUUUGGAUAUACAAUACAUGUAUCAAAGAUUGUGGAAAUAAAUCAAGCAAUAUAUUCAAUUGGACUUAAUUGCAUUAUUACAUGCCAAGUGUCGUAUACCAUCUAUUUGCACAUAACACUUUUUAAUUUAGGUAAAAUUAUUAAUCAUAAAGCUAUAUGAAUUUAUUUUAUUCCAUGUUAUUUUAUUAUUCCAUGUUAUUAUUUAUGUAUUGUUAGGAACAUUUGCUUAAAAAUCAUAUUUGGACAUAGUAUCAGAUACUUUACAUCCUUCGAAUCAGUUAUUUUAUAACAGUAUAUACUAAACAUCAUUACUCCUUUUCAAACAUAAAUAACGCAAUACAAAUUGGACAAAAAAUUCAGGAAAGAUCUGGGAUCAAAAAGGAGGUAUUGAAACAUCACAUGUACUCCAUAAUUAUAUACAAAUAUUUUGUACCCAUAAUAUUUAAAAUACAGAAAAUUAAAAGGUACAUUUUCCUCAAAGUGCAUGCUUCUUUUGCUAUGCAAAACUGCAGGAUAUGGAAAGAAGUGUAUUAAAACACUAAAUCACUUUAUGUGGAAGAUAAAAGGGAUGGUACCCAAUGUACAACUUCAUGUAGUGCACUGAUAUAUUCAAUAUAAAUGAUGUAUUAACUUCAAGAUAACAUGAGAAAGUUAAAUUAUCUAACUUAUUUCAAACUAGGGGAUAGUAUGUUCUCAUUAUUAGAAGCCAGAAUUCUGCUUAUCCAUUUCUAUUAUUAGAAAAAAACAUAAUUUUUAUUCUUGUCUUAGAAAUAGACACCUUGAUAUAAUUCUCUGUAAAUGUAGCAUGAUAGUCUGUUUACAGAGUUUAUAUCAUUCCAAGACUGCACUUCUAAAGUGAGAAAAUAUUAAAGGAUAUAAACUCACUCCUCUCUACAAAAUUCCUUAUUUUUUAUGCAAUGGCUUUAAAAUGUAUGGAAGGGGAGUUAUGGAAACAAUCCAUACCUGGAAAGCAUUCUAUCCAUGCCUUUGAAAUGGUUAUCUAGUACUAGAUUCUUAUCGGUGCCUAGCUAUGUAAUGUGUGUAGCUUAAGAUUUUUAAGAAAGAAGGAUAAAAUGCUCAAUAUAAAUUUAAAAAGCACUUUUAUUGGAAUAUUGAGUCAUGUAUUUGCUUUCUGUAAGUCCUUUUAUCUAUAAAAUAAUAGUUGAGAAAGGCAAAUAGAAUAUGUGGAGGAAUUAAAAAUUCAGUUGUAGGGUGGUAAAUGAAAACCAAAUUUUUCAUUCACCACAUUAAAUGUAAAUGGGUAUUAUACUCAAUUUAAGCAGCAAAGUUGCUCCUUUUUUUUUUUUUUUUUUUUUGAGACAGAGUCUCACACUGUCACCUGGGCUGGAGUACAAUGUUAUCAUCUCGCUUCACUGCAACCCCUGCCUGCUGGGUUCAAGCCAUUCUCCUGCCGCAGCCUCCCAUGUAGCUUCUUAAGAUGUGAAGAUUUUUAAAUUAAGAUGACUCUUGGGAUGAACCAUUUGGUGUUGGUUAAAGACUUUUACUGACAUAUUUUUAAUAAUUUUUUUAACUUUUAUUUUCAGGUCAAUGGCACAUGCGUAGGUUUGUUAUGUAGGUAAACUAGUGUCACAGGGAUUUGUUGUGCAGAUUAUUUCACCACCCAGCUAUUAAGCCUAGUACCCAUUAAUUGUUUUUCCUGAUCUUCUGCUUCCUCCCACCAUCCACCCUCCCAGAGGCCCCAGUGUCUGUUGUUUCCCUCUAUGUGUUCAUGUGUUCUCAUAAUUUAGCUCCCAUUUGUAAAUGAGAACAUGCAGUAUUUGGUUUUCUGUUCCUGCCUUAGUUUGUUAAGGAUAAAGACCUCCAUCCAGCUCCAUCCAUGUUCCUGCAAAGGACUUGAUCUCACUCUCUUUUAUGGCUGCCUAACAUUCCAUGGUGUAUAUGAACCACAAAAUAAAGAUGGUUCUUAACUUUUAAAUUAAGAUUUUUAAAUUAAGAUGAAUCUUGAUUUUUAAAUUAGUAUGGUUUUAAGAUAGUUUUACAGAUAGAUUAGAUAAUCUAUCUAGAGAUAGAUAGGGAGAGAUAUCUAUCAAUACAUAUCUCUAUCUAGAUAUAGAUAGAUGGUUUUCUAUAUAGACCUAUCUAUCUAUAUAUGUAUACAUCUAUAUAUGUCUACACAUAUCUCUAUACACAUAUAUAUAUUUAUAUCUACAUCUGUAUUUCUACAUGUAUAUAGGUAUGUAUAUAUCUACAUGUAUAUAUGUAUAUAGAUAGAUAUAUACAUAGGUAUCUGUAUAUAUGCAUAUACAUGCCUAUCUAUCUUUAUCUACAUGUAUUACAUAGAUAGGGUAAUUACUGAUAAAUCCUUUGGUCUUCUUUGUAAAUCUCUGGGCUAAAGACCCCUCCAGUAUUAUACGUGUUCUGGUCUAGAUUGCUCACUCACCGGUUCUCCUCACUAUCUAGAGAAGAUCCACUUAGCAGGCCUCCCCUUAAAGAAGGGCACCUUAACUGGACUCACUCCUCCCAUAGUAGACUGCACAGUACACAAGCAGAAGAGGAGAGCUCAGUAAUAAAGUCACCAUAAAGGAUAAUUUUUAAAUGAAUAAAGACAUCAGAAAAUCCAGUAUUGGCUAGCACAUAUGGCUAUCAGCAAGCUCACCCUACAAAAAAAUAGUGAGAAAACAGUUCGAAUAUUGGCCGUUUGGGGCACAUAUUCUACAAAAAGGAAAAGUUUUGAAAUGUAUAUAUAUUUAAUUUAACUCUUUAAAAUAUUUGUAGGCAAGCCCAGUGGCUCACACCUAUAAUUUCAGAACUUUGGGAGGCCAGGGCAGGAGGAUUGCUUGAGGCCAGGAGACCAGCCUGGGCAACAUGGCAAGACCCCAUAUCUACAGAUGGUUUUAAAAAAUUAGCCAGGUAUAACACGAUGAAACCCCGUCUCUACUAAAAAUAUAAAAAUUAGCCGGGCAUGGUGGUGGGCGCUUGUAGUCCCAGCUACUCGGGAGGCUGAGGCAGGAGAAUGGCAUGAACCCGGGAGGCGGAGCUUGCAGUGAGCCAAGAUCAUGCCACUGCACUCCAGCCUGGGCAACAGAGCGGAGACUCCAUCUCAAAAAAAAAAAAAAAAAAAAUUAGCCAGGUAUGGUGGCACACACUUGUGGUCCCGUCUACUUAGGAGGUUGGGGCAGGAGAAUUGCUUGAGCCCAGGAGUUUGAGGCUGCAGUGAGCUAUGAUCAUGCCACUGCACUCUAGCCUGGGUGAUAGAACAAGACCCUGUCUCUUAAAAAAAAAAAAUGUAUUAUGCACCAGGUACAAUGUGCUAGGUACUGGGGAGAGAUCUUAAAAAAAUGUAUUAUACACCAGGUACAAUGUGCUAGGUGCUGGGGAGAGAUCAGGGGAUAAAGCAGAGCAAAAUUUCUGUCCUCAUGGAGCUUGUGGUCUAAAGGAGGAAAAAAGGCAAUAAACAAAUUAAAAAAGAGGAAUACAAAGUAUGUGGGUAGGGAUGAGUACAACAGAGGAAAAUCAAGCAGGAAAGAUAGAACUCUGGAAAGAAGUAGGGCCAGUGUCAAAUAGGAUGGCCAGGGAAUGCCACACUGAGAAGGUGACACCAAAGCAAAGACCUACAGGAGGUGAAGUGGUGAGCCAUUCAGGUCACUAAAGGAGGCAUGUUCCCAGGAGAGGGGACGACAAUGCAAAGGCAAGAAGGAGCACCAGCCUGUGUGUUGAGAAAAGCAUGGGGACCCAAGCAGCUAAAGUGGAACACAUGUAAGAAGAAUAACCGUAAUGAGGUCUGAGAGACAACUGGGUGGGAAGUGUCUUAAUCUGUUUGUGUUACUAUAAAGGAAUAUCUGAGUCUGGGUGAUUUAUAAAGAAAAGGAGGUUUGUUUAGGUCACAAUUCUAUAGGCUGUACAAAAAUCAGCACCAGUAUCUACAUCAGGUAAAGGCUGGAGGUUGCUUCCACUCAUGGCAAAAGGGGAAGAGGAGCCAGUGUGUGCAGAAAUCACAGGGUGAGAGAGGAAGCAAGAGAGAGAGGGAAGCACCGGGCUCUUUUAAAAAACCAGCUCUUGGGAAAACUAAUAGAGAACUCACUCACUACUCUCACCAUGGCAGGGCAUUAAUCUAUUUAUGAGGGAUCCAUCCUUAUGAUCCAAACACCUCCCACUAAACCCGACUUCCAACACUGGGGAUCAGAUUUCAACAUGAGAUUUGAAGCGGACAAAUAUCUAAACUACAGCAAAGAGUACAGAUCGGGAGGCAUGGCAAGCUCUGCUGGUCACUCCAGUGGGGUCAACAUUUCAAGAAUGUUACAAGCAGCUGGGCUUGGUGGCUCAUGCCUAUAAUCCCAGCACUUUAAAAGGCUGAAGUAGAAGGAUCACUUGAGGCCAGGAAUUCAAGACCAGCCUGGGCAACAUAAAGAGACCCUGUCUCUACCAAAAAUUAAAAAAAAAAAAAAAAAAAAAAAAAAAAAAGCCAGGCAUGGCAGUGAGCACCUGUUGUCCUAGGUUCUCAGGAGCCUGAGGCGGGAAGAUUACUUGAGCCCAGGGGGUCGAGGCUGCAGUGGGCCACAACUGCCCCACUGCACUACAGCCUGAACAACAAAGUGAGAUCCUGUCUCUUAAAAAAAUUAAGAAAGAAAGAAAAGAAAACAGUAUUACAACCAGUUUUCUAGCAGCACAUAGGGGAAGAGUCUGUUGUCCUCCCAGAUCUCUGGCCAAGGCCCUGGCAGAGGCAAGAAUUACAAAGACCCUAACCUGUUGUUUCCUAGCUCCCCAGAGACACUAGGGAAAGCUAUCUCAAGGGCAAACACAUGUUGACUGGUCUCAAGGAGUAAGGGGUUAUUGUUCCCUCCCCUGGAGAGAGUGCAAUCAAGGGGAGUUGGACAACCCAUCUUUGCUCUACUUGCUGCUUCCUUUUUUCACCAACUUUAAGUCCUUUGGGUUCUGUAUAACCAGAUCCCUGCUUCCUCUAGCCGAAAUUGGUUUCAUUUUGACCAGAGACUGGUUACAACACACCUUUCUACCACCACCUCUAUUAGAAGAUUUAACUCUUUGUUUCUCUAAUAAUCUCUUUUCAUACUUAAUUGUGAGCCCCUUAAGAGACACAUCUUACUACUUAUUGUGUUUUCUGUGCCUAAGUAUUCUGUGUAAUACUUACAACUUACUGCAUCUUCUGAUGCAAAAAAAAAGUUUAAAAGGAAAUGGAUUGUCAUCUGCUGAAUCAGGCUAAGGGUAGGUCCUGGAAGAUACUCCUUCCAAACCUUAUAAUCAGAGGUGACUGCACAGUUGGCUUACAAGAGCCUCUUUUCAAAGUAAUUGGGGAUGCAGUGCUUAGAACUGGGCUGGCACUGUAAUUUUUUUAGGAAUCUGCUCCCAUUUACAAGACGUUCCAUCAUAAAAAUCAAAUCAUAAAAUCAAAUCCAAGUAUGUUCAUUUGGUAUAUUCAUUUUCCACUUCUUACUAGGGGUGGUGGGGGAGGAGAAGCUGGUACAGGAGAAAUGUCUUUUAUUUCCCCUCUAUAACAAUGGUAUAAUUCCAAAUCUUAUAGACCAUCACACAGUUCUGUUAGUUGAUUGUUUUCCAUGGAUUCUACCCUGCCAGGAGACACAAUAAAUAACUUUUUGAAACUUCAUUCUUCAGUCCUGGGAGUUUUUACAAAUAAAAGGACACACAUGUUGAGACAAAUUACAUGCUUGAAAAUCUGUCACUAACAUCAAUUUCAUGUUAAAAAGUACGAAGCAGCUGUUACAGUGGCAUUUCUUUUGUUGUUGGGGAAAAUAAUGUGUGAAUAGCUAUGCUAAUUCAGAGGUAAUUUUCAAAUUUCAUGACUAAAUAAAAAAGCUAAGAGUAGUUCACUAGGUAAUUAAUGUUUGGGAGGGAGUUGUUGGUUUUGUUGAUUUAUUAUAUCUUGACAGACUGGUAUGAUUGAAAUGAAUUAAAUGUUAGACGUGCUUAACAUUUUAUAUGCUAUAUAUCAUAAUAGCAAAGUGCACAGAUCACAUUAUUGAGUGCCUUUGGAUUUUAAAAAUAAAGAUUGCUAUUCAGAUGAAUACCAUUUCAUUAUUGCCUGCACUACUCUGUCAAAUUAAAAAAUAUAAUAGCUAUCUUUAUUCUCAUUUUAAAGCAUGAUAAUCAUCAAAAUGUUGAAGUUUAUCACAGUUCUACAUUAAAAAUAAGUCAUUUUUGUAGGUGAGUUAUCCAAUACAGCAAAGGCCAUCAAAGAGAAAGCCAAUACUUUCAUGGAGAGCUCAGAGCCUUAAUAGAUCCCAGCAGCAAUGCUUCAACCAUUCCCAACUCCAUGUUCCUUGCUAGAUGCUCCUCACCCCAAACUCCUGCAAAUUUCAAGAAUUUCUGUGUAUGUGUGUGUUAAGGGAGGAGUUUUAAAGUAUCUCUGUAUUCAACAAGAUACGUCAGCUUGUAAGCAGCAGAAACCUACUUAAACUAGCUUACAUGAGAAAAUAACAUUAUAAAGACAUAGGAGUGUUUCUACACCAAGAACUGGAGGUAUUGUUUGGUUUCAUGAAGGAUUAAAAUCUGUAAUUCAAAAGUAGACUCAGGCAGCUGCACAUCAAUCUGUGUCUUUUCUCUGGUACUGUGGACUCUAUCCUGUCUGACUUGCUUUGUUCCUGGGCAUCAUUCUUGCUCUGGAAAACACACUUUCCCUGCUCAUUUUUUUAUUUUAAUGCUUAGGUUCAAUCUGCUCAUUUUUCCCUACAGCAGAAGACAGCUUACUGUGUUCCAGCAAACAACAGAGCCUGACCAGCCUCUCUGAAUAUGGGGCCCCAUUCUCACUCACAAGUAUUCUUAACCUGGGGUCCAUGUGGGGUUUGUGAAUUUGGAUAGGAUUUUAAAAUUACAUUUUCAUUUCCACUAAUCUCUAACCGAAAUUCAGUCUUUUCUUCAACUGUGAAUGUAGGCAGCAAGCCACAGUGGAACUUGCAGAACCUAUAAAUUUGUCACUGUGAUUGAUGUUAUAAUGUUACACCUAGAUCUUCUUUCAGAAAUGAGGACUUACCCCAGCUACUAUGAAAGCUGUUGGCAGAGUGCCCUCAGCUGGCAGCCCCAGGGAAAUGGCCUCAGUUGCAGAGAGCCACCUCAGCUGGGUAAUAAACACCUGGCCCUCUUUGAUUCAGGGCACUUCUGAAGGGUCAUAUAAUCUUCAGACCUUCUGUAAGGUUGGCUGAAGCUUCCUCUCAGACUUCAUCACAGCUCAAUGUCAUCCUUCUCUGACCAGUUCCACCUUGCCUUCCCUCAUGUUGAUGUCAAGAGCGUUCCCUAGCAAACUCCCCAAAUGCCAAUCUCCAGCUUAGAUUCUGCUUUCUGGGGAAACUGAACUGUGACAGUUACUAAUACAAAGAAUCAAUAUUUUUAUGUCACAUUAUACUUAGAUAGCUUGAAAUAUAUAUGCAUCUAGUUACUUAAUACAUUAUUAAAAAACUUUUUACUAUAUCGAAAAUUACUUUUUAAACAUUUUAGUAACUGUAUUUCAAGAUAAUUUUCUGUGUUAUCCUAUGCCUUUUAUUUUAUGCAUCUUAAAACAUCAUUCUGAGAAGGAGCCUAUAGGCUUUAUCACUGCCAAAGGAGUCCAUGGCAAAAAAAAAAAAAAAAAAAAAAAAAAGUUGGAGGAGUCAAGAACCCCUGGGAACUAUCUCAGGAGAUCUUGGUUUUUUGCAGGGCUUUCAGCACCAUCCAUUUUCCAGCGGCUCCUUAAUCGAUGUCACUCCUUCCCCAUUGCUCCAGUGCUACUCAGCUGAACUCACCAAUUGCUCUUAACUGAUCUUUUACGUCACCAUUCAUUGCUCCCAUCCAUUUUCCAUACAGACACCAGAAUGGUUUAAAUACAUAUACAUAUAUAUAUGCAGAGCAUGAUAGCUCAUGCCUGUAACCCCAGCACUUUGGGAGGCCAAGGAGGGAGAAUCACUUGGGGUCAGGAGUUCGAGGCCAGCCUGGUGAAACCCCCAUCUCUACUAAAAAUACAAAAAUUAACCAGGCAUGGUGGCAUGCACCUGUAAUUCCAGCUACUUGGGAGGCUGAGGCGUGAGAAUUGCUUGAACCCAGGAGGCAGAGGCUGCAGUGAGCUGAGAUCACACCAGUGCACUCCAGCCUGGGUGAUGGAGUGAGACUCUGUCUCAAAACAGAACAAAACAAAUAUAUAUGUGU
Molecule: long non-coding RNA, 9902 nt
Filed under: Homo sapiens (human)
Lineage: Eukaryota; Metazoa; Chordata; Mammalia; Primates; Hominidae
Description: HSALNT0359064
Source: RNAcentral